AUUGAACGCUGGCGGAAUGCUUUACACAUGCAAGUCGAACGGUAGAGGGGGCAACCCCUCGAGAGUGGCGAACGGGUGAGUAAUAUAUCGGAACGUGCCCAGUCGUGGGGGAUAACGUAGCGAAAGUUACGCUAAUACCGCAUACGACCUAAGGAUGAAAGCGGGGGAUCGCAAGAACUCGCGCGAUUGGGGCGGCCGAUCGCAGAUUAGGUAGUUGGUGGGGUAAAGGCUCACCAAGCCAACGAUCUGUAGCUGGUCUGAGAGGACGACCAGCCACACUGGAACUGAGACACGGUCCAGACUCCUACGGGAGGCAGCAGUGGGGAAUUUUGGACAAUGGACGCAAGUCUGAUCCAGCCAUUCCGCGUGCAGGAUGAAGGCCCUCGGGUUGUAAACUGCUUUUGUACAGAACGAAAAGGUCUCUCUUAAUACGGGGGGCUCAUGACGGUACCGUAAGAAUAAGCACCGGCUAACUACGUGCCAGCAGCCGCCGCGG
Molecule: ribosomal RNA, 496 nt
Filed under: uncultured bacterium
Lineage: Bacteria
Description: partial 16S ribosomal RNA
Rfam family: Bacterial small subunit ribosomal RNA
Source: RNAcentral